AAACAUUUUUACUAGUUAUCUUAUUAGUAGUAUGAUCUGCUCAAUGAAUAUUCAAUAGCCGCAAUUAGUGCUAAGGUAGCAUAAUCAUUUGUCUUUUAAAUGAAGACUAGAACAAAAGAUUAAACAUUUUAAUUUAUUUCUUUUUAAUAAUAUACAAAUUUACUCUAAAAGUAAAAAAGCUUUUAUAUAAAAGAAAGACGACAAGACCCUAUUGAACUUAACUUCAGUUAAACUGGGGCAGUUAAUUAAUUAUGAUUUUAAUAUAAGUAAAUAUUAAAAGAUCCAACUAAUUGAUAAUUCAGUUACCAUAGGGAUAACAGCAUAAUUAUUUUUUAAAGACCAUAUUGUAAAAAUAGAUUGUGACCUCGAUGUUGAAUUAAUAACCUAAUUAAAGCAAAAAUUAAAAAAAGGAAGUCUGUUCGACUUUUAAAAAAUUACAUGAUUUGAGUUCAGACCGGUGUAAGCCAGGUCGGUUUCUAUCUUCUAAAAAGUUUUUUGUAGUACGAAAGGACCUAAAAAUAUUUUAUGUUAUAUUGGCAGAACAAUGCAUUAGAAUUAGAAUCUAAUUAAGCUAUUAUUACCUUUAUAAUUAAUUACAUCUUAAUUACUAUCAGAAUUUUAGUAAGAGUAGCUUUUUAUACAAUUUUAGAGCGAAAAAUUCUAGGAUAUAUACAAAUCCGAAAAGGUCCUAACAAAGUAGGAUUUUUAGGGAUUCUCCAACCUUUUAGAGAUGCACUAAAACUUUUCAAUAAAAACUUGAUCUCAUCCGAAAAUAUAAACUUAACAUUAUCAUUUAUUACUCCAGCUUUAUCCUUAUUCAUUAGAAUCCUCUUAUUACCAAUUAUCUUAUUUAAUUCAUAUUCAUUAUAUGACAAUAAACAUAGAAU
This 887-nucleotide ribosomal RNA is filed under the name Marpissa aff. pikei. RNAcentral's name for it is "partial 16S ribosomal RNA". The stretch from base 1 to 501 matches the Rfam family "Bacterial large subunit ribosomal RNA", at positions 1811 to 2925 of the family's 2925-position model. The record is from RNAcentral. Lineage: Eukaryota; Metazoa; Arthropoda; Arachnida; Araneae; Salticidae.